ACCUCAAAUCCGUUAUGCAUUAACUUGUUGAAACUAAUAAAUCUUUUUUUUUUUUUCACCUCACAUCUCAAAUAUUUUUCUUUUUCACACACUUGUCUAUUCUCUUUUACCUAAACCUAUUUACAUAAGUAGAAAGGUUGUUGUUUUGCUUUCACAUUUUUUAUUGUUGUCGCUCGUUUUCUCUCUUUAUUGUUGCCGCUUCACCUUUGACUCUCUUUAUUCUUGUCGUUUCACCUUCGCC
Molecule: long non-coding RNA, 241 nt
Filed under: Carica papaya (papaya)
Lineage: Eukaryota; Viridiplantae; Streptophyta; Magnoliopsida; Brassicales; Caricaceae
Description: long non-coding RNA (CPAP_LNC000134)
Source: RNAcentral